AACGCGAAGAACCUUACCUACCCUUGACAUCCUGCGAAUCCCGAUGAGAGUUGGGAGUGCCGAAAGGAACGCAGAGACAGGUGCUGCAUGGCUGUCGUCAGCUCGUGUUGUGAGAUGUUGGGUUAAGUCCCGUAACGAGCGCAACCCUUGUCCUUAGUUGCCAGCAUUAAGUUGGGGACUCUAAGGAGACUGCCGGUGAUGAACCGGAGGAAGGCGGGGACGACGUCAAGUCAUCAUGGCCUUUAUGGGUAGGGCCACACACGUGCUACAAUGGGGCAUACAGAGGGUCGCCAACCAGCAAUGGGGAGCCAAUCUCAGAAAGUGCCUCGUAGUCCGGAUUGGAGUCUGCAACUCGACUCCAUGAAGUUGGAAUCGCUAGUAAUCGCGAAUCAGCUAUGUCGCGGUGAAUACGUUCCCGGGCCUUGUA
This 427-nucleotide ribosomal RNA is filed under the name uncultured Gammaproteobacteria bacterium. RNAcentral describes it as "bacterial SSU rRNA". It matches the Rfam family "Bacterial small subunit ribosomal RNA", at positions 958 to 1385 of the family's 1533-position model. Lineage: Bacteria; Pseudomonadati; Pseudomonadota; Gammaproteobacteria. The record is from RNAcentral.